RNAcentral lists this ribosomal RNA (448 nucleotides) under uncultured bacterium. RNAcentral describes it as "bacterial SSU rRNA". It matches the Rfam family "Bacterial small subunit ribosomal RNA", at positions 329 to 793 of the family's 1533-position model. The record is from RNAcentral.
UCCCAGACUCCUACGGGAGGCAGCAGUGGGGAAUAUUGCACAAUGGGGGAAACCCUGAUGCAGCAACGCCGCGUGAGUGAAGAAGUAUUUCGGUAUGUAAAGCUCUAUCAGCAGGGAAGAAGAGAGACGGUACCUGACUAAGAAGCCCCGGCUAACUACGUGCCAGCAGCCGCGGUAAUACGUAGGGGGCGAGCGUUAUCCGGAUUUACUGGGUGUAAAGGGAGCGUAGACGGUUUUUCAAGUCUGAAGUGAAAGCCCGCGGCUCAACUGCGGAACGGCUUUGGAAACUGAGUAACUGGAGUGCUGGAGGGGCAGGCGGAAUUCCUGGUGUAGCGGUGAAAUGCGUAGAUAUCACGCAGAACUCCGAUUGCGAAGGCAGCAUACCGGCGCCCAACUGACGCUGAAGCACGAAAGCGUGGGUAUCGAACAGGAUUAGAUACCCUGGUAC